UUGAGAUUUUGAGUUAUUUCUACCUACAAAAGAGCAUAUUUGAAGGCCACCAAAGAACAUAUCCCAAUGGCAAGCUUGGAGGAAUCGAGAGAAGAAGACGGAUAGAAUAAUGAGCUUGCAGAAGUUGAGACACUUAAGGAAAGAUGCAGAAACGAGUGCAAGCUGAGUAGAAGUAGAGGGCCAAGUGUAGGAAACGAAAGUGCUGGUGGAGAAGUAUAUUCGGUGUGACGCCAAAUGCGCGAGAGAAGAAAGGGAGAAAAGUUGAGAAAAAAUUAAUAUCCCAUAAAUUUAAAAA
RNAcentral lists this long non-coding RNA (295 nucleotides) under Carica papaya (papaya). Its description in RNAcentral is "long non-coding RNA (CPAP_LNC002086)". Lineage: Eukaryota; Viridiplantae; Streptophyta; Magnoliopsida; Brassicales; Caricaceae. The record is from RNAcentral.